This 427-nucleotide ribosomal RNA is filed under the name uncultured bacterium. Its description in RNAcentral is "bacterial SSU rRNA". It matches the Rfam family "Bacterial small subunit ribosomal RNA", at positions 355 to 774 of the family's 1533-position model. The record is from RNAcentral.
UGGGGAAUUUUGGACAAUGGGCGAAAGCCUGAUCCAGCAAUGCCGCGUGCAGGAUGAAGGCCUUCGGGUUGUAAACUGCUUUUGUACGGAACGAAAAAGCUUCUCCUAAUACGAGAGGCCCAUGACGGUACCGUAAGAAUAAGCACCGGCUAACUACGUGCCAGCAGCCGCGGUAAUACGUAGGGUGCAAGCGUUAAUCGGAAUUACUGGGCGUAAAGCGUGCGCAGGCGGUUAUGUAAGACAGAUGUGAAAUCCCCGGGCUCAACCUGGGAACUGCAUUUGUGACUGCAUGGCUAGAGUACGGUAGAGGGGGAUGGAAUACCGCGUGUAGCAGUGAAAUGCGUGGAUAUGCGAAGGAACACCGAUGGCGAAGGCAAUCCCCUGGGCCUGUACUGACGCUCAUACACGAAAGCGUGGGGAGCAAACA